GGGGAAAAAUUUUUACUAAAAAAAACAUAUUAUUAGAAUAUUAUUCCUGUGGACUGAAAUUAAAAAUUGAAAGAAAAUUCAGUGCAUGUUUAUGAAACUCCUAACACACCAAAAAGCUUCAUUUAAAGAUGCUAUUUCCCUUCACUUCUAAAAAUUUGCAAUUUCCCUUCACUUCUAAAACUUUGCAAAAGAACCAUGCCAAAUGAAAAGACAAAGCUUUCUCUCUAAGCCAGUAGAAGUUACCUUAUUUAACCAUGCAGCAAACCA
This 267-nucleotide unclassified non-coding RNA is filed under the name Hevea brasiliensis (rubber tree). Lineage: Eukaryota; Viridiplantae; Streptophyta; Magnoliopsida; Malpighiales; Euphorbiaceae. The record is from RNAcentral.